GAGGUCGGCGGGCCGGUGAGGUCGACGUCGUUCGGCUCCAGUCGGAACGAGGAGCGGGCGUUCGGAUCGUUCCCGAACACG
This 81-nucleotide transfer RNA is filed under the name Alienimonas californiensis. Its description in RNAcentral is "Planctomycetes bacterium CA12 tRNA-Trp". Lineage: Bacteria; Pseudomonadati; Planctomycetota; Planctomycetia; Planctomycetales; Planctomycetaceae. The record is from RNAcentral.